This 94-nucleotide transfer RNA is filed under the name Acidobacteriota bacterium. RNAcentral's name for it is "Acidobacteria bacterium tRNA-Ser". It matches the Rfam family "tRNA". Rfam says of the family: Transfer RNA (tRNA) molecules are approximately 80 nucleotides in length. The record is from RNAcentral. Lineage: Bacteria; Pseudomonadati; Acidobacteriota. RNAcentral also lists the same sequence under 2 other names.
GGAGAGGUGCUGGAGUGGUUGAACAGGGCUGCCUGCUAAGCAGUUACACGGCCUAAAAGCUGUGUCGUGGGUUCGAAUCCCACCCUCUCCGCCA